RNAcentral lists this unclassified non-coding RNA (343 nucleotides) under soil metagenome. RNAcentral's name for it is "partial contains 5.8S ribosomal RNA, internal transcribed spacer 2, and large subunit ribosomal RNA". The stretch from base 1 to 120 matches the Rfam family "5.8S ribosomal RNA", at positions 35 to 154 of the family's 154-position model. The record is from RNAcentral.
GAUGAAGAACACAGCGAAAUGCGAUAAGUAAUGUGAAUUGCAGAAUUCAGUGAAUCAUCGAAUCUUUGAACGCACAUUGCGCCCGCUAGUAUUCUGGCGGGCAUGCCUGUCCGAGCGUCAUUUCAACCCUCAAGCCCCCGGGCUUGGUGUUGGGGAUCGGCGAGCCUCCGCGCCCGCCGUCCCCUAAAUCUAGUGGCGGUCUCGCUGUAGCUUCCUCUGCGUAGUAGCACACCUCGCACUGGGAAACAGCGCGGCCACGCCGUUAAACCCCCAACUUCUGAACGUUUGACCUCGGAUCAGGUAGGAAUACCCGCUGAACUUAAGCAUAUCAAUAAGCGGAGGA